Molecule: ribosomal RNA, 656 nt
Filed under: uncultured Desemzia sp.
Lineage: Bacteria; Bacillati; Bacillota; Bacilli; Lactobacillales; Carnobacteriaceae
Description: bacterial SSU rRNA
Rfam family: Bacterial small subunit ribosomal RNA
Source: RNAcentral
ACGGGUGAGUAACACGUGGGUAACCUACCUACAAGCGGGGGAUAACAUUCGGAAACGGAUGCUAAUACCGCAUAGAUCUUUUUGUCUCCUGGCAGAAAGAAGAAAGACGGUUUUGGCUGUCACUUGUAGAUGGACCCGCGGCGCAUUAGUUAGUUGGUGAGGUAAUGGCUCACCAAGACGAUGAUGCGUAGCCGACCUGAGAGGGUGAUCGGCCACACUGGGACUGAGACACGGCCCAGACUCCUACGGGAGGCAGCAGUAGGGAAUCUUCCGCAAUGGACGAAAGUCUGACGGAGCAACGCCGCGUGAGUGAAGAAGGUUUUCGGAUCGUAAAACUCUGUUGUUAGAGAAGAACAAGGAUGAGAGUAACUGCUCGUCCCUUGACGGUAUCUAACCAGAAAGCCAUGGCUAACUACGUGCCAGCAGCCGCGGUAAUACGUAGAUGGCAAGCGUUGUCCGGAUUUAUUGGGCGUAAAGCGAGCGCAGGCGGUUCUUUAAGUCUGAUGUGAAAGCCCCUGGCUCAACCAGGGAGGGUCAUUGGAAACUGGAGAACUUGAGUGCAGAAGAGGAAAGUGGAAUUCCAUGUGUAGCGGUGAAAUGCGUAGAUAUAUGGAGGAACACCAGUGGCGAAGGCGACUUUCUGGUCUGUAACUGAC